RNAcentral lists this ribosomal RNA (1005 nucleotides) under uncultured bacterium. RNAcentral describes it as "bacterial SSU rRNA". It matches the Rfam family "Bacterial small subunit ribosomal RNA", at positions 37 to 1041 of the family's 1533-position model. The record is from RNAcentral.
AGGCCGUGGGGGCAGCUACCAUGCAGUCGAGCGGAUGAGGGUAGCUUGCUACCUGAUUCAGCGGCGGACGGGUGAGUAAUGCCUAGGAAUCUGCCCGAUAGUGGGGGACAACGUUUCGAAAGGAACGCUAAUACCGCAUACGUCCUAUGGGAGAAAGUGGGGGAUCUUCGGACCUCACGCUAUCGGAUGAGCCUAGGUCGGAUUAGCUAGUUGGUGAGGUAAUGGCUCACCAAGGCGACGAUCCGUAACUGGUCUGAGAGGAUGAUCAGUCACACUGGAACUGAGACACGGUCCAGACUCCUACGGGAGGCAGCAGUGGGGAAUAUUGGACAAUGGGCGAAAGCCUGAUCCAGCCAUGCCGCGUGUGUGAAGAAGGUCUUCGGAUUGUAAAGCACUUUAAGUUGGGAGGAAGGGCAGUAAGUUAAUACCUUGCUGUUUUGACGUUACCAACAGAAUAAGCACCGGCUAACUUCGUGCCAGCAGCCGCGGUAAUACGAAGGGUGCAAGCGUUAAUCGGAAUUACUGGGCGUAAAGCGCGCGUAGGUGGUUCAGCAAGUUGGAUGUGAAAGCCCCGGGCUCAACCUGGGAACUGCAUCCAAAACUACUGAGCUAGAGUACGGUAGAGGGUGGUGGAAUUUCCUGUGUAGCGGUGAAAUGCGUAGAUAUAGGAAGGAACACCAGUGGCGAAGGCGACCACCUGGACUGAUACUGACACUGAGGUGCGAAAGCGUGGGGAGCAAACAGGAUUAGAUACCCUGGUAGUCCACGCCGUAAACGAUGUCAACUAGCUGUUGGGUUCCUUGAGAACUUAGUAGCGCAGCUAACGCGAUAAGUUGACCGCCUGGGGAGUACGGGCCGCAAGGUUAAAACUCAAAUGAAUUGACGGGGGCCCGCACAAGCGGUGGAGCAUGUGGUUUAUUCGAAGCACGCGAGACCUUACCUGGCCUUGACAUGCUGAGACUUUCCAGAGAUGGAUUGGUGCCUUCGGGAACUCAGACCCAGUGC